RNAcentral lists this long non-coding RNA (857 nucleotides) under Homo sapiens (human). RNAcentral's name for it is "HSALNT0241291". Lineage: Eukaryota; Metazoa; Chordata; Mammalia; Primates; Hominidae. The record is from RNAcentral.
CGGGGCCGGGAGAGGUUGGGCGGGCGGGCGGACGCGGGAGAGGUUGGGCGGGCGGGCGGACGCGGGAGAGGUUGGGCGGGAGGGCGGCCGGACGGACGCGGGAGAGGCCGGCGGGGAGAGCUCGGCCCCGGAGCACGGCACAGAGGUCCCCCGCAACCCCCGACCCGGAGCCAUAAAUUUUCCUUUCCCCGGAGCCGGGAAGGAGAGGGAGAGAGAGGAGAGGGGCAAAACUGCAGGGUCCUAACUUCGGAUAUAAAGCUCGGCCACUCGCUACUUGUGCAGCCUUGGCAGAGAGCCCGCAUCCUGUCCAUACAAGCCUAGCAAGCCACUCAGCCUCUCAUCCUGUCUCCUCUCAAAGUGGGGAUAAUCGCAGCCGUGCAGCGUUGUUGAAAGAAUACAUAAAAGCCGGGCACGGUGGCUCACACCUGUAAUCUCAGCACUUUGGGAGGAUCACUUGAGCCCAGGAGUUCGAGACCAGCCUAAACAAGAGUGAGACUAACCCCCGAUCUCUACAAAAAAAAAAAACAAAAAACAAACUAGCCAGGCAUGGUGACAGUGUGGUCUCAUUUACUCGGGAGGCUGAGGCAGGAGGAUGGCUUGAGCCCAGGAGGUCAAGGCUGCAGAGAGCCAUGAUGGUACCACUGCACUCCAGCCUGGGCAACAAAACGAGACCUUGCCUCAAAAAAAAUAAAGCAUCUAGGCCGGGCGCUGUGGCUCACGCCUGUAAUCCCAGCACUUUGGGAGGCCAAGGCGGGUGGAUCACCUGAGGUCAGGAGUUUGAGACCAGCCUGGCCAACAUGGCAAAAUCCCGUCUCUACUAAAAAUACAAAAUUAGCCGGGCGUGGUGGUGAAUGCCU